This 424-nucleotide ribosomal RNA is filed under the name uncultured bacterium. RNAcentral describes it as "bacterial SSU rRNA". It matches the Rfam family "Bacterial small subunit ribosomal RNA", at positions 355 to 796 of the family's 1533-position model. The record is from RNAcentral.
UGGGGAAUAUUGGACAAUGGGGGAAACCCUGAUCCAGCAAUGCCGCGUGAGUGAUGAAGGCCUUAGGGUUGUAAAGCUCUUUCGCACGCGACGAUGAUGACGGUAGCGUGAGAAGAAGCCCCGGCUAACUUCGUGCCAGCAGCCGCGGUAAUACGAAGGGGGCUAGCGUUGUUCGGAAUUACUGGGCGUAAAGCGCACGCAGGCGGCUCGUUGAAUUAGAAGUGAAAGCCCUGGGCUCAACCCGGGAAUUGCUUUUAAGACUGGCGAGCUAGAGUCCGGAAGAGGGUAGUGGAAUUCCCAGUGUAGAGGUGAAAUUCGUAGAUAUUGGGAAGAACACCGGUGGCGAAGGCGGCUACCUGGUCCGGUACUGACGCUCAGGUGCGAAAGCGUGGGGAGCAAACAGGAUUAGAUACCCGCGUAGUCC